This 490-nucleotide ribosomal RNA is filed under the name uncultured bacterium. Its description in RNAcentral is "partial 16S ribosomal RNA". It matches the Rfam family "Bacterial small subunit ribosomal RNA", at positions 30 to 507 of the family's 1533-position model. The record is from RNAcentral.
AUUGAACGCUGGCGGCAGGCCUAACACAUGCAAGUCGAAUGGUAACAGGAAACAGCUUGCUGUUUCGCUGACGAGUGGCGGACGGGUGAGUAAUGUCUGGGAAACUGCCUGAUGGAGGGGGAUAACUACUGGAAACGGUAGCUAAUACCGCAUAACGUCGCAAGACCAAAGAGGGGGACCUUCGGGCCUCUUGCCAUCAGAUGUGCCCAGAUGGGAUUAGCUAGUAGGUGGGGUAACGGCUCACCUAGGCGACGAUCCCUAGCUGGUCUGAGAGGAUGACCAGCCACACUGGAACUGAGACACGGUCCAGACUCCUACGGGAGGCAGCAGUGGGGAAUAUUGCACAAUGGGCGCAAGCCUGAUGCAGCCAUGCCGCGUGUAUGAAGAAGGCCUUCGGGUUGUAAAGUACUUUGAGCGGGGAGGAAGGUAGUAAAGUUAAUACCUUUGCUCAUUGACGUUACCCGCAGAAGAAGCACCGGCUAACUCCGUG